Molecule: long non-coding RNA, 2398 nt
Organism: Oncorhynchus tshawytscha (Chinook salmon)
Lineage: Eukaryota; Metazoa; Chordata; Actinopteri; Salmoniformes; Salmonidae
Exons: 4
Source: RefSeq, a predicted model, not a curated record
GGAGGGAGGACCUGUUGGUCCCGCCAUUAAAGAGACGGUCAACGGUCAGACCGAACCCUUAAAUAACGCCAGAGCUGUGAAAAUAGAUUUAAAGCUGUUCAAUCUAAUGGCUAUCUAGUAGCGCCAUCUAUUGACCGCAGAAAGUAUAGCACCAAGUAAUGUCUAUUUUAAUGGUUGUGUCUGUCAGAAACCGAAUUCCAUCCUUCCUUUGGCUUGUUUCCUAUUGUCUUAAUCAUACCAGUAUGUCUGGAGGGGUAGACGAUGGUGACCCUUCCCACUUCCUCACCUAGCGAAGGUUUAUUUCAAUCAAUGAAGAGAGAUCAUAUGAUGUAGUUAAUCAAGUCUUGUCGUUGAGAUAUAGCCUCAACAAGAGACAGAGACGGGCUACAGAAGAAAGAGAGGAGUGUUCAUCAGAUGACAUGUUGUUGUUGUUGUUGUUGUUGUUGUUUGUCUUCACAUCUCCUGACAGAAAUGUGGUGAAAUCCUGUUCUCUGUGCCGUUAUAUAGAGGCUUUCAUCAUGUGGUCUGUCCAACACAGUGAUAAGAGCUGUGUGUCUCGCUGGCUGAUUCACGCUCUUUCACUUCUGAAUCCCCCCCUCUGUUCUAUCGCUUUUAAUAAAUCAUCCAUUCUGGUUCUGUAAUGGAAUGCCAGUUGUAAAUAAAUCAUCCAUUCUGGUUCUGGAAUGGAAUGUCAGUUGUAAAUAAAUCAUCCAUUCUGGUUCUGUAAUGGAAUGCCAGUUGUAAAUAAAUCAUCCAUUCUGGUUCUGGAAUGGAAUGCCAGUUGUAAAUAAAUCAUCCAUUCUGGUUCUGUAAUGGAAUGCCAGUUGUAAAUAAAUCAUCCAUUCUGGUUCUGUAAUGGAAUGCCAGUUGUAAAUAAAUCAUCCAUUCUGGUUCUGUAAUGGAAUGCCAGUUGUAAAUAAAUCAUCCAUUCUGGUUCUGUAAUGGAAUGCCAGUUGUAAAUAAAUCAUCCAUUCUGGUUCUGGAAUGGAAUGUCAGUUGAUUCCAUCAGUAUAUUCGGUCGUACUUAUUUGUAAAAUGGCAGAAACUCUCAGCCUCUUACUUCUAAACGUUUUAUUUUUAAUUGAAAUCUACAGUCCGGGCUAAACGUCAUCCGAAGCAAUGCUUGCACUAUCUAAACCCACCUGGUUCCCACUGGGUAUGAUGCCGUGUUGAUGAACACUCAGGGACAAUAGGAACUACAUGAUCAGAGGUAAUAUAUAAGUAAUAUUAUCUUAAAUAAAUCAUGAUCUUCACGAAGAAAAUACAGGGUUGUUGUUUUAGUAGAACGCUGUUUGUUUUGUUGCUUCAGGGCUCAGCACUGAAUCUGUAGCACUGAAGAUUCACGCUUUACCAGGAUUUACAUUUAAGGGCCAUGUUCCUGCAGUUUGUCAGAGGGCCAAUAUGACGAGGAUCUUCAGCGCUACGGAUUGAAUCCAUCCCUCUCUUCAGUUGGUUCGUUACAGUGGCCCCUCUUAAACAUGUCCCGCCGUUGUGUUUACACCUACUGUGUGUGUGUGUGUGUGUGUGUGUGUGUGUGUGUACAUCUAUGUGGCUACAUAAUAUUGUUGUAUUAGACACCCCAGGUUUUAUUAGUGAAGGAUAUCGUGGUCAGUUGGAGAGGCUUUAUUAGUGAAGGAUAUCGUGGUCAACUAGAGAGGUUUUAUUAGUGAAGGAUAUCGUGGUCAACUAGAGAGGUUUUAUUAGUGAAGGAUAUCGUGAUCAACUAGAGAGGUUUUAUUAGUGAAGGAUAUCGUGGUCAACUAGAGAGGUUUUAUUAGUGAAGGAUAUCGUGGUCAACUAGAGAGGUUUUAUUAGUGAAGGAUGUCGUGAUCAACUAGAGGUUUUAUUAGUGAAGGAUAUCGUGGUCAACUAGAGAGGUUUUAUUAGUGAAGGAUAUCGUGGUCAGUUGGAGAGGUUUAUUAGUGAAGGAUAUCGUGGUCAGUUGGAGAGGCUUUAUUAGUGAAGGAUAUCGUUGUCAGUUGGAGAGGUUUAUUAGUGAAGGAUAUUGUGAUCAACUAGAGAGGUUUUAUUAGUGAAGGAUAUCGUGGUCAACUAGAGAGGUUUUAUUAGUGAAGGAUAUCGUGGUCAACUAGAGAGGUUUUAUUAGUGAAGGAUAUCGUGGUCAACUAGAGAGGUUUUAUUAGUGAAGGAUAUCGUGGUCAACUAGAGAGGUUUUAUUAGUGAAGGAUAUCGUGGUCAACUAGAGAGGUUUUAUUAGUGAAGGAUAUCGUGGUCAACUAGAGAGGUUUUAUUAGUGAAGGAUAUCGUGAUCAACUAGAGAGGUUUUAUUAGUGAAGGAUAACAUGGUCAACUAGAGAGGUUUUAUUAGUGAAGGAUAUCGUGGUCAACUAGAGAGGUUUUAUUAGUGAAGGAUAUUGAUCAACUAGAGAGGUUUUAU